This 484-nucleotide ribosomal RNA is filed under the name uncultured bacterium. Its description in RNAcentral is "bacterial SSU rRNA". It matches the Rfam family "Bacterial small subunit ribosomal RNA", at positions 26 to 518 of the family's 1533-position model. The record is from RNAcentral.
AGGACGAACGCUUGCGGCGUGCCUAAGAAAUGCAAGUCGAGCGAAGUCCAGGGUGCUGCACCCGAAGACUUAGCGGCGAACGGUCGCGUAACACGUAAGCAACCUGCCCUAAAGACGGGGAUAGCCCACCGAAAGGUGGAUUAAUACCGGAUGUGAAUACUUAUUCGCAUGUAUGAGUGUUUAAAGCAGCGAUGCGCUUUAGGAUGGGCUUGCGGCCUAUCAGUUAGUUGGUGUGGUAACGGCUCACCAAGACGACGACGGGUAGCCGGUCUGAGAGGAUGACCGGCCGGAUCGGGACUGAGAUACGGCCCGGACUCCUACGGGGGGCAGCAAUUAGGAAUCUUGCGCAAUGGGCGAAAGCCUGACGCAGCGAACCGCCGCGUGACUGAUGAAGUCCUUCGGGAUGUAAAAGUCUUUUCUCGGUGAAGAAGGAUGUGACUGUAGCCGAGGAAUAAGCUCCGGCUAACUACGUGCCAGCAGCCGC